RNAcentral lists this ribosomal RNA (253 nucleotides) under uncultured bacterium. Its description in RNAcentral is "partial 16S ribosomal RNA". It matches the Rfam family "Bacterial small subunit ribosomal RNA", at positions 524 to 776 of the family's 1533-position model. The record is from RNAcentral.
UACAGAGGGUGCGAGCGUUAAUCGGAAUUACUGGGCGUAAAGCGUGCGCAGGCGGAUUGUUAAGCAAGACGUGAAAUCCCCGGGCUUAACCUGGGAAUGGCGUUUUGAACUGGCAGUCUAGAGUGCGUCAGAGGGGGGUGGAAUUCCACGUGUAGCAGUGAAAUGCGUAGAGAUGUGGAGGAACACCGAUGGCGAAGGCAGCCCCCUGGGAUGACACUGACGAUCAUGUACGAAAGAGUGGGUAGCAAACAGG